Molecule: long non-coding RNA, 760 nt
Organism: Arachis stenosperma
Lineage: Eukaryota; Viridiplantae; Streptophyta; Magnoliopsida; Fabales; Fabaceae
Exons: 3
Source: RefSeq, a predicted model, not a curated record
GACCCCGCUCUCACCCCCUUCGCAUCUGAUAAGAACCAACGGAAAAAAGAAAAUUUAUGAAAAGCGCAUGAAACAGUGGAUCAGAGACGGCAAGUAUGAAGUUGACAAUGGUUUAGUGACGAAGAUGGAGGAACAGCUGUCGUGAAGGCUGUUCUCGCGCCACACAGCCAUCCAUUUUGUGCACAUUCGUCUUCACCUCGCUUUUCACAAUAGUGCAACCCUCAGCGCCGUUUCUAGCUGUGCAUCGCGCGCCGUCAUCGCAUUGGGUGAUUCUUCCGCUGUGAAUGUCGUCGUCUUUUUCAAUCAGUUUUGGGUGAUUCAGUCAAGUGAGUUGGAUCCAAGAAUUAUGAUUCACUAUUGCAUUCCAUCAACGGCUUCAAUUCUUGCCUUUGAUUUCAUUCAGAGACUCUUGGCUAUUGGAACGCUAUUAGGUGCUUAUAUUGCUUACAUUAAUGGCAGGGGUGGAAGACUAAAGAUUUGAAGUCUUGAAAGCUGAAACCUUGUUUGUUCUUUAGAAUGGGAGUCUAACAUUAUUACUUUCUCUGUCAUUAGUGGCUCUCACUAAUUAAUGUGUUAUUAUUAUUAUUAUUAAGCCACUGUAAGAGAGAAGAUUUUAGAAAGUGGCUAUUUAGAGAGAAUGGUAAAUAAUGAAAAAAUAAUGAGGAGGUGAAUGACAGGGGUAUGUAAGUAAUUUCACAAUUUAUAAACGGUUUUUUGACAUUUAAUGUUAACAGGGACUAAAUUGAAAAAUAAUUUAAAG